Camellia sinensis is the source of this 1459-nucleotide non-coding RNA. Lineage: Eukaryota; Viridiplantae; Streptophyta; Magnoliopsida; Ericales; Theaceae. The record is from RefSeq and is a predicted model, not a curated record.
UAAAGCUUUCUCAUAGUGAAUACAAGGCAUUCUCUCAAACUCUCUUGUGUUCUUCUUACUUGUCUUUCUUCUAAGUUUGUGAGUUAGGCUGACUUAGCAUCAUCAAGUGCAGCUUGAGAUUGUCUAAGUUCCACACGGAUAGCUUGGAAAUAAUCAAGGCCAUGACAUGUGGUAUCAGAUCAGGUUUGAGACAAGAGAAGAAAAUGUAACAAUGUCAUCCGGUGUAUAGGAGACUGUGACGCAGCGAGCAAGUGGAAGGGAACCCACGAAGGGAAGGAAAGAUAAGUCACGAGAUGCUGUUACCACCAUGGAAACACCACUUGCCAAGGUAGAGCUUGCUGUGGGUGACUCGAGGGAGCGUCUUGAUGUGUUGGAGCAAAGCCUUGAACAUGAGGUGGAGGGCCUCAAGGGGGAGAUCAAGGAACUCCAUGAUGGCAUGCUUUCCAUCAUCAAUUAUGUGGCACAUGAUGCUCAAGUGGCCAAUGAUUCUUUCCAACACAAGGUGUUGGAGAUGCUCGCACAAUUUGAAGCCUGCUUGGAGGAAGUACACCAAGAUGUGGCAAUGUGCAAAAAGGCCAUGGCUGGGAGAGCCAUGACCUUGCCGGGGACAUCUAAGGUGGAUGUGCCAAAGAAAAAGCCUUUUGAUGGAAAGAGGGAUGCCAAAGAAAAGGACAACUACUUAUGGCACAUGGAAAGAUAAAUCGAGGUGAUGGCAAUAACCGAGAAAGAUGCCAAGCAAAAUAGGGCACAAAAGCACUCAUCAGUGGUCCCCCCGGUCAACCGGCUGGUCGACUACCAAAAAUGUAUUCCCAUGGUAUGAGUUAUCUUGGGUUUUGUGUCCUACACACCCCCAAGACAGAACAAUCCAACAUAUUUGGGACUAAUAGUCCGGUGCAAAAUUUCUGAACCAAACAAUGGACUAUUCUAUCCAUCAGACAUGGAAUCUUAUCCCAUGGCUCAAUCCCUCCAAACAAACGUGCUCUAAAGCUCUCAUUGUGUUGCUGAGUAAUCUCUUUUUCAUGGACAAUGAAGGUAUUUGGUUGUAUUACAUGGAUUUUUUUAUUUCUUCCAAAAUAUUUGUGUCUGUUGAAUAUGACAUGGGUAAGGGUGUGAGAUAUAUAUCCGGCACUCAUACUCAAUUUAGACACUUGAAUUCUUUAAUUUGUUACAAUAUAUGAGAAGAAGAAACUCACAUUUGCUAAUAAAGCAAUAUUUUUAGCUUCUCACAUUAAUUAGACAUAGAAAUUUUAUUUUUUUCUCUUGAACCUAUUCAAUGUCAAGAAUAUUUUUAUAUAAUUUACAACAUUUCAUCCAAAAAAUAUUAUAUAAUAUGCAAUAUAUAUAUAUAUAUAUGUACACGUUUUUGAAUAUGCAUCUCAAGACCAUAAGAUUUAAAUUUAUAAGAAUUUGACACUUAGAUACAUACCCACACAUACCUGUACCCGAGACCAUGUAAACA